ACUCCUACGGGAGGCAGCAGUAGGAAUUUUCCGCAAUGGACGAAAGUCUGACGGAGCAAUGCCGCGUGAGUGAUGAAGGUUUUCGAAUCGUAAAGCUCUGUUGUAAGGGAGAAUAGCAGUAGUAGGAAAUGACUACUGUGUGACGGUACCUUACCAGAAAGCCACGGCUAACUACGUGCCAGCAGCCGCGGUAAUACGUAGGUGGCAAGCGUUAUCCGGAAUUAUUGGGCGUAAAGCGCAUGUAGGCGGCUCUUUAAGUCUGAUGUGAAAGCCUGUGGCUCAACCACAGAAUUGCAUUGGAUACUGGAGAGCUAGAAUCUUGGAGAGGUAAGUGGAAUUUCAUNUGUAGCGGUGGAAUGCGUAGAUAUAUGAAGGAA
Molecule: ribosomal RNA, 377 nt
Filed under: uncultured bacterium
Lineage: Bacteria
Description: bacterial SSU rRNA
Rfam family: Bacterial small subunit ribosomal RNA
Source: RNAcentral